Molecule: ribosomal RNA, 540 nt
Filed under: Bifidobacterium breve
Lineage: Bacteria; Bacillati; Actinomycetota; Actinomycetes; Bifidobacteriales; Bifidobacteriaceae
Description: bacterial SSU rRNA
Rfam family: Bacterial small subunit ribosomal RNA
Source: RNAcentral
UGGUAAUGCCGGAUGCUCCAUCACACUGCAUGGUGUGUUGGGAAAGCCUUUGCGGCAUGGGAUGGGGUCGCGUCCUAUCAGCUUGAUGGCGGGGUAACGGCCCACCAUGGCUUCGACGGGUAGCCGGCCUGAGAGGGCGACCGGCCACAUUGGGACUGAGAUACGGCCCAGACUCCUACGGGAGGCAGCAGUGGGGAAUAUUGCACAAUGGGCGCAAGCCUGAUGCAGCGACGCCGCGUGAGGGAUGGAGGCCUUCGGGUUGUAAACCUCUUUUGUUAGGGAGCAAGGCAUUUUGUGUUGAGUGUACCUUUCGAAUAAGCACCGGCUAACUACGUGCCAGCAGCCGCGGUAAUACGUAGGGUGCAAGCGUUAUCCGGAAUUAUUGGGCGUAAAGGGCUCGUAGGCGGUUCGUCGCGUCCGGUGUGAAAGUCCAUCGCUUAACGGUGGAUCCGCGCCGGGUACGGGCGGGCUUGAGUGCGGUAGGGGAGACUGGAAUUCCCGGUGUAACGGUGGAAUGUGUAGAUAUCGGAAAGAACACCA